GACGAACCGAGCGAACGUUGUUCGGAAUCACUGGGCUUAAAGGGCGCGUAGGCGGGCGGCUAAGUCCGCGGUGAAAUCCUCCAGCUCAACUGGAGAACGGCCGCGGAUACUGGUCGUCUCGAGGAACGUAGGGGUAUGCGGAACUAUCGGUGGAGCGGUGAAAUGCGUUGAUAUCGAUAGGAACUCCGGUGGCGAAGGCGGCAUACUGGACGUUUUCUGACGCUGAGGAGCGAAAGCGUGGGGAGCGAACAGG
This 253-nucleotide ribosomal RNA is filed under the name uncultured bacterium. RNAcentral describes it as "partial 16S ribosomal RNA". It matches the Rfam family "Bacterial small subunit ribosomal RNA", at positions 524 to 776 of the family's 1533-position model. The record is from RNAcentral.